GAUGAACGCUGGCGGCGUGCUUAACACAUGCAAGUCGAACGGACAGGCUCGUGCUUGCCGGGGCACUCGAGUGGCGAACGCGUGAGUAACACGUGGGUGAUCUGCACUGCACUUCGGGAUAAGCCUGGGAAACUGGGUCUAAUACCGGAUAGGACGAUGGUUUGGAUGCCGUUGAGGAAUGAUUUUUCGGUGUGGGAUGGGCUCGCGGGCUAUCCGCUCGUUGGUGGGGUAAUGGCCUACCAAGGCGUCGCCGGGUCGCCGGCCUGUGAGGGUGUACGGCCACAUGGGGACUGAGGUACGGCCCAGACGGCUACGGUAGGCAGCGGGGGGGAGUAUUACACAAUGGGGCCGAGCCUGAGACGGCGACGCCGCGUGCGUGAUAAUCGCCUACGAGUUGUAAACAACUUUCGCUAGGGACGAGGCGCAAGUGACGGUACCUGGAGAGGAAGCACCGGCUAACUACGUG
Molecule: ribosomal RNA, 466 nt
Filed under: uncultured bacterium
Lineage: Bacteria
Description: partial 16S ribosomal RNA
Rfam family: Bacterial small subunit ribosomal RNA
Source: RNAcentral